RNAcentral lists this ribosomal RNA (406 nucleotides) under uncultured bacterium. Its description in RNAcentral is "partial 16S ribosomal RNA". It matches the Rfam family "Bacterial small subunit ribosomal RNA", at positions 28 to 526 of the family's 1533-position model. The record is from RNAcentral.
GACGAACGCUGGCGGCGCGCUUAACACAUGCAAGUCGAGCGAAGCGGCGGACGGGUGAGUAACACGUGAGUAACCUUCCUUAGACAUUGGGAUAGCCUCGGGAAACCGGGAUUAAUACCACAUGGUCUAAGAUGGACUCGCGUCCCAUUAGCUAGUUGGUGGGGAACGGCCCACCAAGGCGACGAUGGGGAGCCGGCCGGAGAGGGUGAACGGCCACAGUGGAACUGAGAAACGGUACAAACGCGACGGGAGGCAGAAGUGGGGAAUAUGGCACAAUGGAGGGAACACUGAGGCAGCGACGCCGCGUGAACGAAGAAGGCUUUCGAGCCGUAAAGUUCUUUUAUAUGGGAAGCGGUACCAUAAGAAAAAGCCCCGGCUAACUACGUGCCAGCAGCCGCGGUAAUAC